RNAcentral lists this transfer RNA (74 nucleotides) under Rhodocyclaceae bacterium. RNAcentral describes it as "tRNA-Cys". It matches the Rfam family "tRNA". Rfam says of the family: Transfer RNA (tRNA) molecules are approximately 80 nucleotides in length. Their secondary structure includes four short double-helical elements and three loops (D, anti-codon, and T loops). Further hydrogen bonds mediate the characteristic L-shaped molecular structure. tRNAs have two regions of fundamental functional importance: the anti-codon, which is responsible for specific mRNA codon recognition, and the 3' end, to which the tRNAs corresponding amino acid is attached (by aminoacyl-tRNA synthetases). tRNAs cope with the degeneracy of the genetic code in two manners: having more than one tRNA (with a specific anti-codon) for a particular amino acid; and 'wobble' base-pairing, i.e. permitting non-standard base-pairing at the 3rd anti-codon position. The record is from RNAcentral. RNAcentral also lists the same sequence under 7 other names. Lineage: Bacteria; Pseudomonadati; Pseudomonadota; Betaproteobacteria; Rhodocyclales; Rhodocyclaceae.
GGCGCGAUCGCAUAGUGGCCGUGCAACGGAUUGCAAAUCCGUCUACCCCAGUUCGAUUCUGGGUCGCGCCUCCA